Molecule: non-coding RNA, 28 nt
Filed under: Mus musculus (house mouse)
Lineage: Eukaryota; Metazoa; Chordata; Mammalia; Rodentia; Muridae
Source: RNAcentral
UGUCAGAAGGUCCAGGAUAGCCCACUGC